This is a long non-coding RNA of Gopherus evgoodei (Goodes thornscrub tortoise), 363 nucleotides long. RefSeq lists it as uncharacterized. Lineage: Eukaryota; Metazoa; Chordata; Testudines; Testudinidae. The transcript has 3 exons. The record is from RefSeq and is a predicted model, not a curated record.
CGGCUCGACCGGCCGGUGGGUACGGAGGGCUGGAAUCAUGUCGGGGUCACCAGAUGCGGGAAGGAAACAGACGCAGACAGCUCGUUUGCUCAGGAAAGCGCCUCGUCGUCAGGCGUGGCAGCCUUUUUAUUCUUUCAGUUACAGUGUCAUGCAUAACUUACAGCCUUGUUUACUUGUUUCGCAUUGGUGGAGGACUCUUUCUUCCCCUUUUCCCCUCACCCGCCUGCAUGUAGGCAGAGCGUGCUAUACUUAUCUAAUCUAUGAUAGUGCGGAGUCUGCAUUCUGUGGCAAGAUGGGGUAUGCAGGGGGCGGUUUCUGGUGGCUUGCCAGCCAGGACCGAUCCCUACACUGCUUAUAUCCUGU